GGUAACAAGAUCAGCUGCUACUGGUUUUUGCUUCAUUUUUGUGCUCCUAGUAACUCUGUAUUUUGCUCCCUCGCAGGUUUCUAACCUAAUGCUUUGUUUACCUCGCUGAGGCCCAACUACGCUCCAGAUGUUUCUGGGGAGUUAUGAUUAUUGCCUACUGGAAAUUGGAUCUUUGUUUUUGUGGACUUCCUUCCCACCUGUACUUUUCGGACACGGACCAAGCUGGUGCCUUCCCACUUCCUCCUCCUUCAGGACCAAGGCAUAAACGUACCCUGUUCCACCCUCCAACACAAGUAUCCGCACCCAAGCUAUCUCUGCUUUUCACCAGCAGCAACAAUUUAUUGGCGUUUCCCGUCUCCGCUCCUGAUUAUUUUGCUGACAAUAAAAACACCUUUACAUUCUG
Long non-coding RNA from Girardinichthys multiradiatus, 403 nucleotides. RefSeq lists it as uncharacterized. The record is from RefSeq and is a predicted model, not a curated record. The transcript is spliced from 2 exons. Lineage: Eukaryota; Metazoa; Chordata; Actinopteri; Cyprinodontiformes; Goodeidae.